GUAUCCUGUCUGAAUAUGGGGGGACCAUCCUCCAAGGCUAAAUACUCCUGACUGACCGAUAGUGAACCAGUACCGUGAGGGAAAGGCGAAAAGAACCCCGGCGAGGGGAGUGAAAAAGAACCUGAAACCGUGUACGUACAAGCAGUGGGAGCCUCUUAAUGGGGUGACUGCGUACCUUUUGUAUAAUGGGUCAGCGACUUAUAUUCUGUAGCAAGGUUAACCGAAUAGGGGAGCCGAAGGGAAACCGAGUCUUAACUGGGCGUUAAGUUGCAGGGUAUAGACCCGAAACCCGGUGAUCUAGCCAUGGGCAGGUUGAAGGUUGGGUAACACUAACUGGAGGACCGAACCGACUAAUGUUGAAAAAUUAGCGGAUGACUUGUGGCUGGGGGUGAAAGGCCAAUCAAACCGGGAGAUAGCUGGUUCUCCCCGAAAGCUAUUUAGGUAGCGCCUCGUGAAUUCAUCUCCGGGGGUAGAGCACUGUUUCGGCAAGGGGGUCAUCCCGACUUACCAACCCGAUGCAAACUGCGAAUACCGGAGAAUGUUAUCACGGGAGACACACGGCGGGUGCUAACGUCCGUCGUGAAGAGGGAAACAACCCAGACCGCCAGCUAAGGUCCCAAAGUCAUGGUUAAGUGGGAAACGAUGUGGGAAGGCCCAGACAGCCAGGAUGUUGGCUUAGAAGCAGCCAUCAUUUAAAGAAAGCGUAAUAGCUCACUGGUCGAGUCGGCCUGCGCGGAAGAUGUAACGGGGCUAAACCAUGCACCGAAGCUGCGGCAGCGACACUAUGUGUUGUUGGGUAGGGGAGCG
Molecule: ribosomal RNA, 807 nt
Filed under: Escherichia coli O25b:H4-ST131
Lineage: Bacteria; Pseudomonadati; Pseudomonadota; Gammaproteobacteria; Enterobacterales; Enterobacteriaceae
Description: partial 23S ribosomal RNA
Rfam family: Bacterial large subunit ribosomal RNA
Source: RNAcentral